CCUACGGGUGGCAGCAGUGGGGGAUAUUGCACAAUGGGGGAAACCCUGAUGCAGCGACGCCGCGUGUAGGAAGACGGUCCUCUGGAUUGUAAACUACUGUCCCCAGGGACGACGCUGACGGUACCUGGGGAGGAAGCUCCGGCUAACUUCGUGCCAGCAGCCGCGGUAAUACGUAGGGAGCGAGCGUUGUCCGGAAUUACUGGGGGUAAAGGGAGCGUAGGCGGGGAUGCAAGUUGGGUGUUAAAUCUACCGGCUCAACUGGUAGUCGCACUCAAAACUGCAGCUCUUGAGUGAAGUAGAGGCAGGCGGAAUUCCUAGUGGAGCGGUGAAAUGCGUAGAUAUUAGGAGGAACACCAGUGGCGAAGGCGGCCUGCUGGGCUUUUACUGACGCUGAGGCUCGAAAGUGUGGGGAGCAAACAGGAUUAGAUACCCCUGUAGUC
RNAcentral lists this ribosomal RNA (440 nucleotides) under uncultured bacterium. RNAcentral describes it as "partial 16S ribosomal RNA". It matches the Rfam family "Bacterial small subunit ribosomal RNA", at positions 338 to 795 of the family's 1533-position model. The record is from RNAcentral.